AAGAAAGAUAGAGGCGAAGAAAUAUAUCCUGUAUGUGGGCACCUGGGGUAUAUGGAGUCAGUGGUGCAACCGGCUAUAUUUAUU
Regulatory RNA element from Clostridium sp., 84 nucleotides. It matches the Rfam family "Cyclic di-GMP-II riboswitch aptamer". The record is from Rfam. NCBI's taxonomy places the organism in Bacteria, Bacillati, Bacillota, Clostridia, Eubacteriales, Clostridiaceae.